UUGAACGCUGGCGGCAGGCCUAACACAUGCAAGUCGAACGGCAGCACAGAAGAGCUUGCUCUUUGGGUGGCGAGUGGCGGACGGGUGAGUAAUGUCUGGGAAACUGCCCGAUGGAGGGGGAUAACUACUGGAAACGGUAGCUAAUACCGCAUAACGUCGCAAGACCAAAGUGGGGGACCUUCGGGCCUCACACCAUCGGAUGUGCCCAGAUGGGAUUAGCUAGUAGGUGGGGUAAUGGCUCACCUAGGCGACGAUCCCUAGCUGGUCUGAGAGGAUGACCAGCCACACUGGAACUGAGACACGGUCCAGACUCCUACGGGAGGCAGCAGUGGGGAAUAUUGCACAAUGGGCGCAAGCCUGAUGCAGCCAUGCCGCGUGUAUGAAGAAGGCCUUCGGGUUGUAAAGUACUUUCAGCGGGGAGGAAGGCGGUGAGGUUAAUAACCUCGCCGAUUGACGUUACCCGCAGAAGAAGCACCGGCUAACUCCGUGCCAGCAGCCGCGGUAAUACGGAGGGUGCAAGCGUUAAUCGGAAUUACUGGGCGUAAAGCGCACGCAGGCGGUCUGUUAAGUCAGAUGUGAAAUCCCCGGGCUUAACCUGGGAACUGCAUUUGAAACUGGCAGGCUUGAGUCUCGUAGAGGGGGGUAGAAUUCCAGGUGUAGCGGUGAAAUGCGUAGAGAUCUGGAGGAAUACCGGUGGCGAAGGCGGCCCCUGGACGAAGACUGACGCUCAGGUGCGAAAGUGUGGGGAGCAAACAGGAUUAGAUACCCUGGUAGUCCACGCCGUAAACGAUGUCGACUUGGAGGUUGUGCCCUUGAGGCGUGGCUUCCGGAGCUAACGCGUUAAGUCGACCGCCUGGGGAGUACGGCCGCAAGGUUAAAACUCAAAUGAAUUGACGGGGGCCCGCACAAGCGGUGGAGCAUGUGGUUUAAUUCGAUGCAACGCGAAGAACCUUACCUGGCCUUGACAUCCAGAGAACUUAGCAGAGAUGCUUUGGUGCCUUCGGGAACUCUGAGACAGGUGCUGCAUGGCUGUCGUCAGCUCGUGUUGUGAAAUGUUGGGUUAAGUCCCGCAACGAGCGCAACCCUUAUCCUUUGUUGCCAGCGGUUCGGCCGGGAACUCAAAGGAGACUGCCGGUGAUAAACCGGAGGAAGGUGGGGAUGACGUCAAGUCAUCAUGGCCCUUACGGCCAGGGCUACACACGUGCUACAAUGGCGCAUACAAAGAGAAGCGACCUCGCGAGAGCAAGCGGACCUCAUAAAGUGCGUCGUAGUCCGGAUUGGAGUCUGCAACUCGACUCCAUGAAGUCGGAAUCGCUAGUAAUCGUAGAUCAGAAUGCUACGGUGAAUACGUUCCCGGGCCUUGUACACACCGC
This 1373-nucleotide ribosomal RNA is filed under the name uncultured bacterium. Its description in RNAcentral is "bacterial SSU rRNA". It matches the Rfam family "Bacterial small subunit ribosomal RNA", at positions 29 to 1393 of the family's 1533-position model. The record is from RNAcentral.